This 1136-nucleotide long non-coding RNA is filed under the name Panax ginseng (ginseng). RNAcentral's name for it is "long non-coding RNA (PGIN_LNC002956)". The record is from RNAcentral. Lineage: Eukaryota; Viridiplantae; Streptophyta; Magnoliopsida; Apiales; Araliaceae.
GGCAUAGACCACAGACAAUGAGAAGAACGGCGACAUUCGGGCUCCCACCAUAUCAAAACUUCACAUUGGAAGAAAUGGAAGACGCAACAAACAAUUUUGACCCAUCAAAUUUGGUGGGGGAAGGCUCUCAGGGACAGGUAAAGGAAGGAUCCAUUUCCCCCCUGUUUUUGAAUCCUUAAUACAAAAAUGCAAUCUUUUCAAUAUCUUCUUUAUUUCAAACGUACAUAUUUUCAGUGUUAUAAGUUGGUUCAUUUCUAUGUUUUUGAAAAAACAUACAUAAAUUUACUUCAUUGUUGCUACAGAUGUAUAAAGGUUGGCUUAGAGAUGGAUCAACAGUAGUGGUAAAAUGUUUAAAAGUCAAACAGAAGCACUCCCCGCAAGCACUGAAGCAGCAUACAGAAAUGAUAUCCAAGCUAAGGCACCGGCAUCUAGUGAGUGUUCUUGGACACUGCACUGUUACAUAUCUAGACCACCCCAGCACGGAAAGCACUGUCUUUAUUGUUCUAGAAUACGUCGGGAAGGGAUCAUUAAGGGAUCAUCUUACAGGUAUGUGUAUAUAUAUAUAUAUAUAUGUUUUACAUUUUUCUACUAAAUAUUGAAACUAUUUAUGAGUAUAUACUUGGUUGCUUUUUAAUUGGUAGAUUGGAGAAAGAAAGAAAUGCUGAAAUGGCCGCAGAGAAUGGCGAUCACAAUGGGUAUUGCAAAAGGAAUCCAAUUCUUACACACAGGAUUAGCAUCUGGAAAUUUCGGGAAUGAUUUAAAGAUUGAAAACAUAUUGUUGGAUGACAGUCUUACCCCAAAAAUUACAAGUUAUAACAUUCCCUUGCCAUCUAAGGUAAAUGUUGUAAGAAAAAGCACAAAUUGUUAUUUAAUUCUGCUAAAACUUGUUGUUUGUUUUUUUAAUUAUUUAAAACUCAAGUUGAAUAUCAAUUAUGACAAAGCUCACCUUGUGAAAUUUUUAGGUAGGUUCAGAAAGUCCUCUUCUUCUUAACAGACAAGAGCCAUCUAAUCUUCAAUGCAGGAGGUUUGUUUCUUUGUCUUUACUUUCUUCUUGACAGCAAUAUAGUAGUUCUUAGUCUUCUCAUGAAAGCUCAAUAUUGAUACAGCAACGAAGAUCCCGAGAAAGAUGAUAUUUA